CUACGGGGCGCAGCAGUGGGAAUAUUGGACAAUGGGGGAAACCCUGAUCCAGCAAUGCCGCGUGGAGGAUGACGCAUUUCGGUGUGUAAACUCCUUUUAUAUGUCAAGAAAAUGACGGUAGCAUAUGAAUAAGCACCGGCUAACUCCGUGCCAGCAGCCGCGGUAAUACGGAGGGUGCAAGCGUUACUCGGAAUCACUGGGCGUAAAGGACGCGUAGGCGGGUUGGAAAGUCAGGUGUGAAAUCCUACAGCUUAACUGUAGAACUGCACUUGAAACUUCUAAUCUAGAGUAUGGGAGGGGGAGAUGGAAUUAGUGGUGUAGGGGUAAAAUCCGUAGAUAUCACUAGGAAUACCUAAAGCGAAGGCGAUCUCCUGGAACAUUACUGACGCUAAGGCGUGAAAGCGUGGGGAGCAAACAGGAUUAGAUACCCCGGUAGUC
This 438-nucleotide ribosomal RNA is filed under the name uncultured bacterium. Its description in RNAcentral is "partial 16S ribosomal RNA". It matches the Rfam family "Bacterial small subunit ribosomal RNA", at positions 339 to 795 of the family's 1533-position model. The record is from RNAcentral.